This 1367-nucleotide ribosomal RNA is filed under the name uncultured bacterium. RNAcentral describes it as "bacterial SSU rRNA". It matches the Rfam family "Bacterial small subunit ribosomal RNA", at positions 28 to 1381 of the family's 1533-position model. The record is from RNAcentral.
GACGAACGCUGGCGGCGUGCCUAAUACAUGCAAGUAGAACGCUGAAGGAGGAGCUUGCUUCUCUGGAUGAGUUGCGAACGGGUGAGUAACGCGUAGGUAACCUGCCUGGUAGCGGGGGAUAACUAUUGGAAACGAUAGCUAAUACCGCAUAAGAGUGGAUGUUGCAUGACAUUUGCUUAAAAGGUGCACUUGCAUCACUACCAGAUGGACCUGCGUUGUAUUAGCUAGUUGGUGGGGUAAGGGCUCACCAAGGCGACGAUACAUAGCCGACCUGAGAGGGUGAUCGGCCACACUGGGACUGAGACACGGCCCAGACUCCUACGGGAGGCAGCAGUAGGGAAUCUUCGGCAAUGGACGGAAGUCUGACCGAGCAACGCCGCGUGAGUGAAGAAGGUUUUCGGAUCGUAAAGCUCUGUUGUAAGAGAAGAACGAGUGUGAGAGUGGAAAGUUCACACUGUGACGGUAUCUUACCAGAAAGGGACGGCUAACUACGUGCCAGCAGCCGCGGUAAUACGUAGGUCCCGAGCGUUGUCCGGAUUUAUUGGGCGUAAAGCGAGCGCAGGCGGUUAGAUAAGUCUGAAGUUAAAGGCUGUGGCUUAACCAUAGUAGGCUUUGGAAACUGUUUAACUUGAGUGCAAGAGGGGAGAGUGGAAUUCCAUGUGUAGCGGUGAAAUGCGUAGAUAUAUGGAGGAACACCGGUGGCGAAAGCGGCUCUCUGGCUUGUAACUGACGCUGAGGCUCGAAAGCGUGGAGAGCAAACAGGGUUAGAUACCCUGGUAGUCCACGCUGUAAACGAUGAGUGCUAGGUGUUAGACCCUUUCCGGGGUUUAGUGCCGUAGCUAACGCAUUAAGCACUCCGCCUGGGGAGUACGACCGCAAGGUUGAAACUCAAAGGAAUUGACGGGGGCCCGCACAAGCGGUGGAGCAUGUGGUUUAAUUCGAAGCAACGCGAAGAACCUUACCAGGUCUUGACAUCCCUCUGACCGCUCUAGAGAUAGAGCUUUCCUUCGGGACAGAGGUGACAGGUGGUGCAUGGUUGUCGUCAGCUCGUGUCGUGAGAUGUUGGGUUAAGUCCCGCAACGAGCGCAACCCCUAUUGUUAGUUGCCAUCAUUUAGUUGGGCACUCUAGCGAGACUGCCGGUAAUAAACCGGAGGAAGGUGGGGAUGACGUCAAAUCAUCAUGCCCCUUAUGACCUGGGCUACACACGUGCUACAAUGGCUGGUACAACGAGUCGCAAGCCGGUGACGGCAAGCUAAUCUCUUAAAGCCAGUCUCAGUUCGGAUUGUAGGCUGCAACUCGCCUACAUGAAGUCGGAAUCGCUAGUAAUCGCGGAUCAGCACGCCGCGGUGAAUACGUUCCCGGGCCU